UAAUUACGUCAUGUGUGUUAGGAAUUAAACAUUAUAUAGGUUUUGUAUUUGUUUGUAUGUUUGUAGUUGUUUGUGUUUGUGCAAACAGUGAGGGUUCUUGUUUUCCCCCUGGAUUCAGUGAUCUUUGAUUUGUUUUCACGGAUAGCUCAUGUGUGCUUUUCAGUCGUGCCACAUCAUCUCUUCAUGAAAUCAGUGUGUGGUUUUGUUUUUCCAGAUGUCUCUCCGUCCGUGAGCACAGCAUCCGUCACAGUGGGGGCCGGUGGUCUGCUGCUCCCUCUCUCUACCGAGCAGCUCGCCUGUGUGGCUCUGUCGGGCGCCCUCCUCCUCGCCCUGAUCGUAAACGUCGUCAUCUGCUGCCGUAACAGGAGGAAAGAUGAACUUCUCAUUCAGCAAAAAAGCCGCCAGCUUCAGAGCGCCGGCGAGCGCCAUGAGAAUGACUACAGAGACGGUGUCAACCUGGUCAACAUCACCAGCAACGACUACGAAGCAGACCACAUGGAUCAAUCAGGCACACGAUACGAAGCAGACCACAUGGAUCAAUCAGGUACACGAUACGAAGCAGACCACAUGGAUCAAUCAGGCACACGAUACGAAGCAGACCACAUGGAUCAAUCAGGUACACGAUACAUUCACAUUCAAUAGACAGAGUGCCAUGUCAUACACUAUCGUUCAAAAGUUUGGGGUCACUUAGAAAUGUCCUUGUUUUCAAAUAAAACAGCCAUGAAAUGAGUUUGAAUAGGAAAUAUAGCUAAAUGAGUAGGAUGUAGUCAGUGACAAGGUUAGAAAUAAUGAUUUUUAAUUGAAAUAAGAAUUUGUGUUCUUCAAACUUUGUGUCAUCAAAGAGUCCUCCAUUUGCUUUUCUUUCAAAAACAAGUACAUUUCCAAGUGACCCCUGACCUUUUGAACAGUAGAGUACAUUUACAGAAGUACAUACUCAGUUGUGUGUGUUACUCGGGGUGUCGAGCCCCACAACCUUAGUGUUGUUAGCACCCUGUGCCACCAGUUGAGCCACAGAAACACAUUGGACACAAGCGCUAACUCAACUCUAACACAUUGGACACAAGCGCUAACUCAACUCUAACACAUUGGACACAAGCGCUAACUCAACUCUAACACAUUGGACACAAGCGCUAACUCAACUCUAACACAUUGGACACAAGAGCUAACUCAACUCUAACACAUUGGACACAAGCGCUAACUCAACUCUAACACAUUGGACACAAGCGCUAACUCAACUCUAGCAUAGUGCUCCACACAUUGGACACAAGAGCUAACUCAACUCUAACACAGUGCCCCACACCGGACAUGACACUAUUUGUUUUCAUCCCUUUUUAAACGGAUCGACACACUUGACUUGACUUGCUUCCUCUCUUCCUGGUGUCUAGUUGAGAUGGGUCCCCCCCUGGCCCCGCGGCCCCCCCAAUACUACCCACAAAGCAGCAUCGAGAGCACAACUUCCUGUGACACAGAUCAUGAUGGAAGUCAGAGUGGGGAGGCUGCCUAUCCGCUCUCUACCUUCCGCAAUUCACGGAAAUACACCCCAGACAGGAGAGUCCCUAGCGCGGGUGUUUCUCAUAUGAGCCGAGUCACAGAGGAAGCAUGCAACCCUGUUGAGGACAUGGCCGAAGUGCAUGCUGGGUACUGUGGUUCUUCAUUAGUGGGCAGCAACCAGCCAAACAGAACAAGCUAUGCGGGCACAGCCAGUGGUAACAGAGCACUGUUCACUUUCACUUCACAGUUUCAGUUCACUAUCACUAUCAUGAUUUAGGAUUAAUACUGCAUAUCAUGUUUUAGCUUUUCAAAUUUCUGUAUAACCUUCAUCGUAAUUCUUAAUAUGUUAAUGUUAUUGGGUUUAAUAGGUUUACACCUCACAAAAUGCAAAUGCAAAUUACAAUACUAAAGAAACAAACACUAAACACUAAAAGGUGUUAUUCUAAUUUGGUACACAAGGGUAUAAAGUGUAAUAGGUUUCAUGAAAGCCUAUUCUUUACAGUACUAAAGACACAAACAAUAAACAAAUAAACACAAAACUGACAACUGUCCUUAAACCUGUGCUCUGUGUGGCAGUGGAUUCCUUUGACUCCUCCAGCACGUCCUCUGGUGAAUGCUAUGAGAACACAGAACGCACCCCUGCACGACCAGCCUCAGAAUCGCCGAUUUAUGACCAGACAGGUGACCACUUCCUGUUGCACAAAGGAAACCCUGCUGACGACCACAGAGGCCUGACCUCAAUGACACACGGGGUGAGGGCAGGAGGCCACUCCAGUGGAGAAGACUCCCCCAUCUACUCCCCCGUGAGCUUGGAGCCCCCAGAAGAACAGGAGAUGUCAUCAGACGGUGACUAUGACGACGUGGUCAGCUACCUGCAGUGAUGGGUAGUCUUUAGACUGUUACUAUGACGACGUGUUCAAUUACCUGCAAUUGCCUGGACCAAAGAUGGGAUUCACAACAGUCACAACAAUCGCACAGCAAACACAAACACAUUUCAUGCUUUACUCACACCAUAGGUUCUGUAGUGGAUUUAAAGGUUAUGCAAGAUGAUUUAAAGGUUAUGCAAGAUGCUGAAGGUUGCAGGUCGGUAAUCUGUGUGAUGAAAUGAAUAAUCAUCAGACAAAUCAGAUAAUAAUAAUCAAUAAUCAUGUUCAAUUUGGAGAUGACAAGAUGGGUCAGCCUUUACAUUUCUAUUCAGUAAUGUGCCACUGUUUGUAUGCUCAAACUCACUCACAAAAUAUGACUUCAAUUUGUACUUUGAAAAUGUAAAUAAUCUUCUUUAAAAUAAAA
This is a long non-coding RNA of Clupea harengus (Atlantic herring), 2781 nucleotides long. RefSeq lists it as uncharacterized. Lineage: Eukaryota; Metazoa; Chordata; Actinopteri; Clupeiformes; Clupeidae. The transcript is spliced from 6 exons. The record is from RefSeq and is a predicted model, not a curated record.